RNAcentral lists this unclassified non-coding RNA (307 nucleotides) under uncultured Ascomycota. Its description in RNAcentral is "sequence contains ITS1". The stretch from base 1 to 105 matches the Rfam family "5.8S ribosomal RNA", at positions 50 to 154 of the family's 154-position model. Lineage: Eukaryota; Fungi; Ascomycota. The record is from RNAcentral.
GAAAUGCGAUAAGUAGUGUGAAUUGCAGAAUUCAGUGAAUCAUCGAAUCUUUGAACGCACAUUGCGCCCUUUGGUAUUCCGAAGGGCAUGCCUGUUCGAGCGUCAUGUAAACCAUCAAGCUUUUGCUUGGUCUUGGGUGCCUUUGUCUCGCGCAACUGCAAGACUCACCUCAAAGUCAUCGGCUGCUGGAGUGUCGGUCAUGGAGCACAGUACAUUGUCGCUGCCUGCCGCGCGCCCGUAGUUGCCGUCACGCAUUUUUACAUUCAGGAUUGACCUCGGAUCAGGUAGGAAUACCCGCUGAACUUAA